This is a transfer RNA of Cavia porcellus (domestic guinea pig), 65 nucleotides long. It matches the Rfam family "tRNA". From Rfam's summary of the family: Transfer RNA (tRNA) molecules are approximately 80 nucleotides in length. Their secondary structure includes four short double-helical elements and three loops (D, anti-codon, and T loops). Further hydrogen bonds mediate the characteristic L-shaped molecular structure. tRNAs have two regions of fundamental functional importance: the anti-codon, which is responsible for specific mRNA codon recognition, and the 3' end, to which the tRNAs corresponding amino acid is attached (by aminoacyl-tRNA synthetases). tRNAs cope with the degeneracy of the genetic code in two manners: having more than one tRNA (with a specific anti-codon) for a particular amino acid; and 'wobble' base-pairing, i.e. permitting non-standard base-pairing at the 3rd anti-codon position. The record is from Rfam. NCBI's taxonomy places the organism in Eukaryota, Metazoa, Chordata, Mammalia, Rodentia, Caviidae.
GGGGAUUUAGCUCAGUGGCAUAAGCACCUGCCUUGGAAGCAGGCGGUCGUUGAGUUCCAUCCCCG